Molecule: long non-coding RNA, 3987 nt
Organism: Cygnus atratus (black swan)
Lineage: Eukaryota; Metazoa; Chordata; Aves; Anseriformes; Anatidae
Exons: 5
Source: RefSeq, a predicted model, not a curated record
CAGAGAAUUUUUCCUAAGUACAAUGUGGUGGAGGCAAAGGUAGCUCCCGGGCAUGUAGCAACCUCCAAAUUAGCCAAAAUUCUCUGUUACCUAGCCUAGAGGGAUCCAAGUUUAGGAUCCACAAAGAAAAAACCUCUCUUGGAGGAAGCCAAAUCUUUUUUCUAGAAGCAUGCCGAGGUGAGAAGGCAAGGGUAGCUACCAGGCAUACAGUUCCGUCUAAACUUGUCCAAAGUUGUGGUGUCCCUGCCCUGAAGGGCUUUGCAGCUGGUCCCCAGAGCUAAAUGUGUCUCAGGCAGAAUCCCCAACAUUUGCAGAAGCUUCCCUGGAGGAGGCAAUGGUAGCUAGCAGGCAUGCAGCUCCCUCCAAAGUAGAGCCAAAAUUGUGAGGGACUUAAGGCGGAGGGGUCUUCCGGUGGUAUUGACAAGCAGUUCUGUAUUGGGAGCUAGGUUGAAAGUUUUUCAAAUCCUGAUCAGCGAAGGGAAGUGAAGGUACCCAGGCAGGAACCUCCCUCCAAAAUUGGCCAAAGUUCUUUUGUACCAAGCCUGAAGGGGUCUGCGGACCGAAUCCACAAGUCCCUCUCUCUCCGGAAGAGGCCCCAAAAUUUCACCAAGUAUGCCUGGGAGGAGGAACGGGUAGCUACUGGGCAUGCACGUACUUCCCAAUUUGGCCAAAGUUCAGGUAGAUACCCCAUACGGGUAUGCUGCUUUUCCAGAACUUGUGCAGGUGACAGAGAAUUUUUCCUAAGUACAAUGUGGUGGAGGCAAAGGUAGCUCCCGGGCAUGUAGCAACCUCCAAAUUAGCCAAAAUUCUCUGUUACCUAGCCUAGAGGGAUCCAAGUUUAGGAUCCACAAAGAAAAAACCUCUCUUGGAGGAAGCCAAAUCUUUUUUCUAGAAGCAUGCCGAGGUGAGAAGGCAAGGGUAGCUACCAGGCAUACACUUCCGUCUAAACUUGUCCAAAGUUGUGGUGUCCCUGCCCUGAAGGGCUUUGCAGCUGGUCCCCAGAGCUAAAUGUGUCUCAGGCAGAAUCCCCAACAUUUGCAGAAGCUUCCCUGGAGGAGGCAAUGGUAGCUAGCAGGCAUGCAGCUCCCUCCAAAGUAGAGCCAAAAUUGUGAGGGACUUAACGCAGAGGGGUCUUCAGGUGGUGUUGACAAGCAGUUCUGUAUUGGGAGCUAGCCCAAAAGUUUUUCAAAUCCUGAUCAGCGAAGGGAAGUGAAGGUACCCAGGCAGGAACCUCCCUCCAAAAUUGGCCAAAGUUCUUGGGUACCAAGCCUGAAGGGGUCUGCGGACCGAAUCCACAAGUCCCUCUCUCUCCGGAAGAGGCCCCAAAAUUUCACCAAGUAUGCCUGGGAGGAGGAACGGGUAGCUACUGGGCAUGCACGUACUUCCCAAUUUGGCCAAAGUUCAGGUAGAUACCCCAUACGGGUAUGCUGCUUUUAUCCAGAACUUGUGCAGGUGACAGAGAAUUUUUCCUAAGUACAAUGUGGUGGAGGCAAAGGUAGCUCCCGGGCAUGUAGCAACCUCCAAAUUAGCCAAAAUUCUCUGUUACCUAGCCUAGAGGGAUCCGAGUUUAGGAUCCACAAAGAAAAAACCUCUCUUGGAGGAAGCCAAAUCUUUUUUCUAGAAGCAUGCCGAGGUGAGAAGGCAAGGGUAGCUACCAGGCAUACAGUUCCAUCUAAACUUGUCCAAAGUUGUGGUGUCCCUGCCCUGAAGGGCUUUGCAGCUGGUCCCCAGAGCUAAAUGUGUCUCAGGCAGAAUCCCCAACAUUUGCAGAAGCUUCCCUGGAGGAGGCAAUGGUAGCUAGCAGGCAUGCAGCUCCCUCCAAAAUAGAGCCAAAAUUGUGAGGGACUUAAGGCGGAGCGGUCUUCAGCUCGUAUUGACAAGCAGUUCUGUAUUGGGAGCUAGCCCAAACGUUUUUCAAAUCCUGAUCAGCGAAGGGAAGUGAAGGUACCCAGGCAGGAACCUCCCUCCAAAAUUGGCCAAAGUUCUUGGGUACCAAGCCUGAAGGGGUCUGCGGACCGAAUCCACAAGUCCCUCUCUCUCCGGAAGAGGCCCCAAAAUUUCACCAAGUAUGCCUGGGAGGAGGAACGGGUAGCUACUGGGCAUGCACGUACUUCCCAAUUUGGCCAAAGUUCAGGUAGAUACCCCAUACGGGUAUGCUGCUUUUCCAGAACUUGUGCAGGUGACAGAGAAUUUUUCCUAAGUACAAUGUGGUGGAGGCAAAGGUAGCUCCCGGGCAUGUAGCAACCUCCAAAUUAGCCAAAAUUCUCUGUUACCUAGCCUAGAGGGAUCCGAGUUUAGAAUCCACAAAGAAAAACUCUCUCUUGGAGGAAGCCAAAUCUUUUUUCUAGAAGCAUGCCGAGGUGAGAAGGCAAGGGUAGCUACCAGGCAUACAGUUCCGUCUAAACUUGGCCAAAGUUGUGGUGUCCCUGCCCUGAAGGGCUUUGCAGCUGGUCCCCAGAGCUAAAUGUGUCUCAGGCAGAAUCCCCAACAUUUGCAGAAGCUUCCCUGGAGGAGGCAAUGGUAGCUAGCAGGCAUGCAGCUCCCUCCAAAGUAGAGCCAAAAUUGUGAGGGUCUUAACGCAGAGGGGUCUUCAUGUGUUGUUGACAAGCAGUUCCGUAUUGGGAGCUAGGUCAAAAGUUUUUCAAAUCCUGAUCAGCGAAGGGAAGUGAAGGUACCCAGGCAGGAACCUCCCUCCAAAAUUGGCCAAAGUUCUUUUGUACCAAGCCUGAAGGGGUCUGCGGACCGAAUCCACAAGUCCCUCUCUCUCCGGAAGAGGCCCCAAAAUUUCACCAAGUAUGCCUGGGAGGAGGAACGGGUAGCUACUGGGCAUGCACGUACUUCCCAAUUUGGCCAAAGUUCAGGUAGAUACCCCAUACGGGUAUGCUGCUUUUCCAGAACUUGUGCAGGUGACAGAGAAUUUUUCCUAAGUACAAUGUGGUGGAGGCAAAGGUAGCUCCCGGGCAUGUAGCAACCUCCAAAUUAGCCAAAAUUCUCUGUUACCUAGCCUAGAGGGAUCCAAGUUUAGGAUCCACAAAGAAAAAACCUCUCUUGGAGGAAGCCAAAUCUUUUUUCUAGAAGCAUGCCGAGGUGAGAAGGCAAGGGUAGCUACCAGGCAUACACUUCCGUCUAAACUUGUCCAAAGUUGUGGUGUCCCUGCCCUGAAGGGCUUUGCAGCUGGUCCCCAGAGCUAAAUGUGUCUCAGGCAGAAUCCCCAACAUUUGCAGAAGCUUCCCUGGAGGAGGCAAUGGUAGCUAGCAGGCAUGCAGCUCCCUCCAAAGUAGAGCCAAAAUUGUGAGGGACUUAACGCAGAGGGGUCUUCAGGUGGUGUUGACAAGCAGUUCUGUAUUGGGAGCUAGCCCAAAAGUUUUUCAAAUCCUGAUCAGCGAAGGGAAGUGAAGGUACCCAGGCAGGAACCUCCCUCCAAAAUUGGCCAAAGUUCUUGGGUACCAAGCCUGAAGGGGUCUGCGGACCGAAUCCACAAGUCCCUCUCUCUCCGGAAGAGGCCCCAAAAUUUCACCAAGUAUGCCUGGGAGGAGGAACGGGUAGCUACUGGGCAUGCACGUACUUCCCAAUUUGGCCAAAGUUCAGGUAGAUACCCCAUACGGGUAUGCUGCUUUUCCAGAACUUGUGCAGGUGACAGAGAAUUUUUCCUAAGUACAAUGUGGUGGAGGCAAAGGUAGCUCCCGGGCAUGUAGCAACCUCCAAAUUAGCCAAAAUUCUCUGUUACCUAGCCUAGAGGGAUCCGAGUUUAGGAUCCACAAAGAAAAAACCUCUCUUGGAGGAAGCCAAAUCUUUUUUCUAGAAGCAUGCCGAGGUGAGAAGGCAAGGGUAGCUACCAGGCAUACAGUUCCGUCUAAACUUGUCCAAAGUUGUGGUGUCCCUGCCCUGAAGGGCUUUGCAGCUGGUCCCCAGAGCUAAAUGUGUCUCAGGCAGAAUCCCCAACAUUUGCAGAAGCUUCCCUGGAGGAGGCAAUGGUAGCUAGCAGGC